Long non-coding RNA from Xiphias gladius (swordfish), 884 nucleotides. RefSeq lists it as uncharacterized. NCBI's taxonomy places the organism in Eukaryota, Metazoa, Chordata, Actinopteri, Istiophoriformes, Xiphiidae. The record is from RefSeq and is a predicted model, not a curated record. The transcript is spliced from 4 exons.
CGGACGUUAGCGGGAGUUAAGGGAAGAGGACGAAGCUCUGUGAUUGGCUGGAACGGCCACGUGGCUCCGUUAAUUCACCAAUAGUGUGGUUUCUACUUGCGCUCGCCGCGGCCAUCGUGGUCCUUCAGAGAAGAAGCGCGGCUGAAGGCGCCGAUGGACGAUACCGGCUCAUUCUGAAGCACAGUUUAAAAAUGGACAUGGUGGCGCCGGCAGCGGCUGCAGUGACAGGCGGCCGGAGGCAGGUGGAGCUACGGGCUCUCAGGGCCAAAAAAUGGAGGACAAGCAUCGGAGGAAAAAAAAAAACUCAACGCGUGAAGAAGUCAUGAUAUUAUUGAGUCUUGUGCGGAAAAAUCACUAAUCACCAAUUGAAGGAAGCUCCAGGAAUGCCGAGAGCUAACUGCAGCCAUUAACUCAGAACGAAGUGAAGUUUGGGAAGUGCGCAAGGUGAAAAGGAAAUGGAGUGACCUAAAAAGACAGGCUACAGGGGACUCCCCCAGGUCGGAACACUUUCCAACUCGUGGUGGUCCCAAGCCAGAUGCGGGACCUUUUUCAUCACUGGUCCUUAGGUAGGUGCUGCAUAAAGUCAAACAGCAGGCUCUGAAAUUAGAGGCCGAGAAAGCAAAACACGAACUCCACCUCGUAAAAACUGAAAGAUUAUAAAUCAAUAUUAAUUUAACAAUUCAUUCCUUACACAUUAAUCAAACGUGACACAUAUUACAAUUUAUUCAAAAUAUAUUGUACCCACUUUUUAUACAAAUGUGAGGUGAAAUGACAUAAUAUUUAAAAUGAUAUAUACAGCAUGUAAUUUUAAGCAUUGAAAAUAUAUUGCAACACUUUUGUUUCUGUUCACAGUGUUUAAUGUAGAUUAAAUGUUUUUAUUUGCA